UUUUUUUUCUGGGGGCACGCGGACGGAAAGUUGAAGAAGAACUUUGAAGAGAGAGUUCAAAACGCGCGUGAAACCGCUUAGAAGAAAACUGGAGGGAGCCGUCGAGGAGCCUUCGGGAAUCAGUCGUACGAUUCGCGAAAGUGCCUUAGUACCAGAACGCAAGUCUGCCCAGGGUUCCAUUAGUAGCGAUCGAAUGAUGCAUUUCUCGAAGGUAAGCACUGCGAGCGAUACGAAAGGCUGACGAAGCGAUUGGAUUGAGUUCGAUUCCCUUCGGGGAGUCGUUUCCCGUCUCUGUGCUUGAGUCGUCAGCCCGCGGUAUGUAUCGAGUCCCUUAACAGAUACGCCGGCGUAAAUCGCUCGCUGGAGUAGCGGAUAGUCGAUUAACUAGUUGGUACCUGCUUGCAGGAACUAGCGAACUUGGUCGACUCAGAAGUUACUGGCGACGCAAAGGCGUAUAGGCGUCAGCAGUGUCAGUGUCGGCCACCCAUCCGACCCGUCUUGAAACACGGACCAAGGAGUUUAACAUAUGCGCGAGCUAAUGGGUGGAAAACCCAAAGGCGAAAUAAAAGUAAACGCUGUCUCGGACAGCUUAGAUACGAUCCUAGACUCGCUCUAGGCGCAGUAUCGUCCCGUCUCGACCGCAUGUCGGUAGGGCGGAGAAAGAGUGCAUACGUUGGGACCCGAAAGAUGGUGAACUAUGCCUGAGCAGAGCGAAGCCAGAGGAAACUCUGGGGAGGUUCGAGCGGCUCCCACGUCAAAUCAGCCGUCAGACGCCCGUAUAUGUACAACGACAGUGCCCG
RNAcentral lists this ribosomal RNA (800 nucleotides) under Tubixaba tuxaua. Its description in RNAcentral is "partial large subunit ribosomal RNA". It matches the Rfam family "Eukaryotic large subunit ribosomal RNA", at positions 1 to 937 of the family's 3401-position model. The record is from RNAcentral. Lineage: Eukaryota; Metazoa; Nematoda; Enoplea; Dorylaimida; Aporcelaimidae.